This 239-nucleotide long non-coding RNA is filed under the name Elaeis guineensis (African oil palm). Its description in RNAcentral is "long non-coding RNA (EGUI_LNC043428)". The record is from RNAcentral. Lineage: Eukaryota; Viridiplantae; Streptophyta; Magnoliopsida; Arecales; Arecaceae.
UUGAAUUUGAAGAGUUCAAAUUUGAUUUCAGAUGAGGGAUAAAGCUCACUGAAAUUUAAAGAGAAUUUAUCCCCAUGUGGAUAAGGAUAAAGGCUGAUUUGAAUUUGAAAAGUUCAAAUUCAAAUAAGGGAAGAUAAAGGUGGUGCCUACAAGCUUUAUCUUUAUCUAAGCUGGUGCACACUUUGUUUUCUCAUAGAGAUUCUAUGAAGAAAUACAUGGAAAUGAGAGGGAGGGGGGCC